This 498-nucleotide ribosomal RNA is filed under the name uncultured bacterium. RNAcentral's name for it is "bacterial SSU rRNA". It matches the Rfam family "Bacterial small subunit ribosomal RNA", at positions 338 to 840 of the family's 1533-position model. The record is from RNAcentral.
CCUACGGGAGGCAGCAGUAAGGAAUAUUGGUCAAUGGAGGCAACUCUGAACCAGCCAUGCCGCGUGCAGGAAGACGGCCCUAUGGGUUGUAAACUGCUUUUGAACUAGAGAAAACCUUGGUACGUGUACCGAGUUGAUAGUAUAGUUAGAAUAAGCAUCGGCUAACUUCGUGCCAGCAGCCGCGGUAAGACGAAGGAUGCAAGCGUUAUCCGGAUUCAUUGGGUUUAAAGGGUGCGUAGGCGGACUGAUAAGUCAGUGGUGAAAUCUCUCAGCUUAACUGAGAAACUGCCAUUGAUACUGUUAGUCUAGAGUACAGAUAAUGUGGGCGGAAUAUGACAUGUAGUGGUGAAAUACUUAGAUAUGUCAUAGAACACCGAUUGCGAAGGCAGCUCACAAAACUGUAACUGACGCUGAGCACGAAGUAGCGGGAGUACAACAGAUAGAUACCUCGUAGUCGCACCGUAACGAUGAUACUCGUUGUUGGUCGUAUAUGACAGU